RNAcentral lists this ribosomal RNA (481 nucleotides) under uncultured bacterium. RNAcentral's name for it is "bacterial SSU rRNA". It matches the Rfam family "Bacterial small subunit ribosomal RNA", at positions 32 to 492 of the family's 1533-position model. The record is from RNAcentral.
AACGCUGGCGGCGUGCCUAACACAUGCAAGUCGAACGCGAAAGCCCCGCAAGGGGUAAGUAGAGUGGCAAACGGGUGAGUAACACGUGGGUGACCUACCUUCGAGUGGGGGAUAACGUCCCGAAAGGGACGCUAAUACCGCAUGACAUCCUGCGUUUGGAAACGCGGAGAUCAAAGCCGGGGAUCGCAAGACCUGGCGCUUGAAGAGGGGCCCGCGCCUGAUUAGCUAGUUGGUGGGGUAACGGCUCACCAAGGCAACGAUCAGUAUCCGGCCUGAGAGGGCGGACGGACACACUGGGACUGAGACACGGCCCAGACUCCUACGGGAGGCAGCAGUGGGGAAUUGUACGCAAUGGGCGCAAGCCUGACGACGCAACGCCGCGUGGAGGACGAAGAUCUUCGGGUCGUAAACUCCUGUCGAGCGGGAAGAACGCUUCCCGGGUGAAUAAUCCGGGGAAUUGACGGUACCGCUAAAGGAAGCC